Non-coding RNA from Molorchus minor, 70 nucleotides. Lineage: Eukaryota; Metazoa; Arthropoda; Insecta; Coleoptera; Cerambycidae. The record is from the annotation of a GenBank genome assembly.
GGGGAUAUAGCUCAGUGGUAGAGCAUCACUGCAGAUCGAGAGGUCCCUGGUUCAAAACCCGGUGUCCCCU